Molecule: long non-coding RNA, 834 nt
Filed under: Gossypium raimondii (Peruvian cotton)
Lineage: Eukaryota; Viridiplantae; Streptophyta; Magnoliopsida; Malvales; Malvaceae
Description: long non-coding RNA (GRAI_LNC001592)
Source: RNAcentral
AAGGCUUCCACCACCAUUAUCCAAUAAUCCCUCCCAUCUACAAGAAACCUCUUCCGCCACCGUCCCCGGUGUACAAGCCCCCUCCAGUUCCCGUAAACCCACCUGUUCCAAUCUAUAAACCUCCACCAGUUCCAGUCUAUAAACCUCCUCCAGUUCCAGUAAAACCACUUCCUCCACCUGUUCCAAUCUACAAACCUCCACCAGUUGAAAAACCACAUCCUCCACCUGUUCCAGUCUAUAAACCUCCACCAGUUCCAGUAUACAAGAAACCAUGUCCUCCACCAGUUCCAGUCUAUAAAUCUCCUCCGGUUCCAGUAUACAAGAAACCGCAUCCUCCUCCAGUUCCAGUCUAUAAGAAACCACAUCCACCUCCAGUUCCAGUAUACAAGAAACCAUGUCCUCCCCCAGUUCCAGUCUAUAAAUCUCCUCCAGUUCCGGAACCACAUCCUCCGCCAGUUCCAGUCCAUAAGCCUCCUCCAGUUCCGGUAUACAAGAAACGAGUCCCUCCUCCGGUUCCAAUCUACAAGCCCCCUCCAGUUCCUGUAUACAACAAACCACUACCUCCCCCGGUUCCAGUGUAUACGAAGCCACUUCCACCACCUGUUCCAACCUACAAACCAAAACCCCUCCCUCCCAUUCCUUACAAGCCACUCCCUCCACUUCCCAAGAUCCCUCCAUUCCCUAAGAAGCCAUGCCCUCCCCUUCCUAAGCUACCCCCUCUUCCCAAGAUUCCUCCCAAGUAUUUCCACCACCACCCUCCCCUUCCUAAGCUACCUCCUCUCCCUAAGAUUCCUCCCAAGUAUUUCCACCACCAUCCCAAGUUCGGAAAAUGGC